This 334-nucleotide long non-coding RNA is filed under the name Nicotiana tabacum (common tobacco). RNAcentral's name for it is "long non-coding RNA (NTAB_LNC000584)". Lineage: Eukaryota; Viridiplantae; Streptophyta; Magnoliopsida; Solanales; Solanaceae. The record is from RNAcentral.
GGAGUUGGAGUUGGAGGUUUUGGAUGCUCGUAUACUGGUGGUGGUGGUGGUGGUGGUGGUGAAGAUGGUGUCACAUAUACUGGUGGUGGUGGAGAGUGAGGCGUGUAUGUUGGUGGCUCGUAAUGUACUGGUGGUGGUGGUGGUGAUUGAGGUGUGUAAGUUGGUGGCUCGUAAUGUACUGGUGGCGGUGGAGGUGGUGGUGGUGAUUGAGGUUUGUAUGUUGGUGGCGCGUAAUGUACUGGUGGCGGUGGAGGUGAUGGUGAUGGGUGAUGAUAGUAUACCGGACUUGGUGGAGGUGGAGGAGGUGGAGCAUGACGAGUUACAGGUGAAAUUU